GACGAACGCUGGCGGCGUGCCUAAUACAUGCAAGUUGAGCGCUGAAGGUUGGUACUUGUACCAACUGGAUGAGCAGCGAACGGGUGAGUAACGCGUGGGGAAUCUGCCUUUGAGCGGGGGACAACAUUUGGAAACGAAUGCUAAUACCGCAUAAAAACUUUAAACACAAGUUUUAAGUUUGAAGGAUGCAAUUGCAUCACUCAAAGAUGAUCCCGCGUUGUAUUAGCUAGUUGGUGAGGUAAAGGCUCACCAAGGCGAUGAUACAUAGCCGACCUGAGAGGGUGAUCGGCCACAUUGGGACUGAGACACGGCCCAAACUCCUACGGGAGGCAGCAGUAGGGAGUCUUCGGCAAUGGACGAAAGUCUGACCGAGCAACGCCGCGUGAGUGAAGAAGGUUUUCGGAUCGUAAAACUCUGUUGGUAGAGAAGAACGUUGGUGAGAGUGGAAAGCUCAUCAAGUGACGGUAACUACCCAGAAAGGGACGGCUAACUACGUG
Molecule: ribosomal RNA, 497 nt
Filed under: uncultured bacterium
Lineage: Bacteria
Description: partial 16S ribosomal RNA
Rfam family: Bacterial small subunit ribosomal RNA
Source: RNAcentral